GAGUCGUUGGCCGAGUGGUUAAGGCGACGGACUUGAAAUCCGUUGGGUGCUCCCGCGUAGGUUCAAAUCCUGCACGACUCG
This 81-nucleotide transfer RNA is filed under the name Haematococcus lacustris. Its description in RNAcentral is "Haematococcus pluvialis tRNA". It matches the Rfam family "tRNA". From Rfam's summary of the family: Transfer RNA (tRNA) molecules are approximately 80 nucleotides in length. Their secondary structure includes four short double-helical elements and three loops (D, anti-codon, and T loops). Further hydrogen bonds mediate the characteristic L-shaped molecular structure. tRNAs have two regions of fundamental functional importance: the anti-codon, which is responsible for specific mRNA codon recognition, and the 3' end, to which the tRNAs corresponding amino acid is attached (by aminoacyl-tRNA synthetases). tRNAs cope with the degeneracy of the genetic code in two manners: having more than one tRNA (with a specific anti-codon) for a particular amino acid; and 'wobble' base-pairing, i.e. permitting non-standard base-pairing at the 3rd anti-codon position. Lineage: Eukaryota; Viridiplantae; Chlorophyta; Chlorophyceae; Chlamydomonadales; Haematococcaceae. The record is from Rfam by way of RNAcentral.